CCCAGACUCCUACGGGAGGCAGCAGUGAGGAAUAUUGGUCAAUGGCCGGGAGGCUGAACCAGCCAAGUCGCGUGAGGGAAGACGGCCCUACGGGUUGUAAACCUCUUUUGUCAGGGAGCAAGGUGCAGGUCGGGACCUGCUGUGAGAGUACCUGAAGAAAAAGCAUCGGCUAACUCCGUGCCAGCAGCCGCGGUAAUACGGAGGAUGCGAGCGUUAUCCGGAUUUAUUGGGUUUAAAGGGUGCGUAGGCGGGAUGCCAAGUCAGCGGUCAAAUACGGGGCCCCAACCUGCGUCCGCCGUUGAAACUGGCGUUCUUGAGUGGGCGAGAAGUACGCGGAAUGCGUGGUGUAGCGGUGAAAUGCAUAGAUAUCACGCAGAACUCCGAUUGCGAAGGCAGCAUACCGGCGCGCAACUGACGCUCAUGCACGAAAGCGUGGGUAUCGAACAGGAUUAGAUACCCUCGUA
Molecule: ribosomal RNA, 464 nt
Filed under: uncultured bacterium
Lineage: Bacteria
Description: bacterial SSU rRNA
Rfam family: Bacterial small subunit ribosomal RNA
Source: RNAcentral